UACGUAGGGUGCAAGCGUUGUCCGGAAUUAUUGGGCGUAAAGGGCUCGUAGGCGGUCCAUCACGUCGGGAGUGAAAAGCUGGGGCUUAACCCCAGUCCUGCUUCCGAUACGGGUGGACUAGAGGUAGGCAGGGGAGAACGGAAUUCCUGGUGGAGCGGUGAAAUGCGUAGAUAUUGGAAAGACCACCGAUGGCGAAGGCACUCUACUGGGCCACUACUGACACUGAGAGACGAAAGCUAGGGGAGCAAAUGGG
This 253-nucleotide ribosomal RNA is filed under the name uncultured bacterium. Its description in RNAcentral is "partial 16S ribosomal RNA". It matches the Rfam family "Bacterial small subunit ribosomal RNA", at positions 524 to 776 of the family's 1533-position model. The record is from RNAcentral.